AGACGAAGCCGAAGGGAAACCGAGUCUGAAUAGGGCGAAUAGUAGCGUGGGGCAGACCCGAAGCGAGAUGAUCUAGUCAUGAGCAGGUUGAAGCGCCGGUAAAACGGCGUGGAGGACCGAACCCGUUGAGGUUGAAAACUCUUGGGAUGACUCGUGAUUAGGGGUGAAAGGCCAAUCAAAUCUCGGGAUAGCUGGUUCUCUCCGAAAAAUAUUUAGGUAUUGCCUCGAGUAAUUCAGUCGUGGAGGUAGAGCACUGGAAGGGCUAGGGGUCUCACCAGAUUACCAAACCCUACCAAACUCCGAAUGCCACGAACUGUUACCUCGGGAGGCAGGCGUUGGGUGCUAAGGUCCAACGCCGAGAGGGAAAGAGCCCAGACCGACAGCUAAGGUCCCAAAGUUCUGGCUAAGUGGUAAAGGAUGUGGGAACGCGCAGACAACCAGGAGGUUGGCUUAGAAGCAGCCACCCUUUUAAAGAAAGCGUAAUAGCUCACUGGUCGAGUCGGUCUGCGCGGAAGAUUUACCGGGGCUCAAGCUAUACACCGAAGCUACGGAUGCUAGUUUACUAGCAUGGUAGAGGAGCGUUCUG
Molecule: ribosomal RNA, 586 nt
Filed under: Pseudo-nitzschia fraudulenta
Lineage: Eukaryota; Bacillariophyta; Bacillariophyceae; Bacillariales; Bacillariaceae
Description: partial Bacterial large subunit ribosomal RNA
Rfam family: Bacterial large subunit ribosomal RNA
Source: RNAcentral